CAGCCGCCGCGGUAAUACGGAGGGUGCAAGCGUUACUCGGAAUCACUGGGCGUAAAGGACGCGUAGGCGGAUUAUCAAGUCUCUUGUGAAAUCUAACGGCUUAACCGUUAAACUGCUUGGGAAAUUGAUAAUCUAGAGUAAGGGAGAGGCAGAUGGAAUUCUUGGUGUAGGGGUAAAAUCCGUAGAUAUCAAGAAGAAUACCUAUUGCGAAGGCGAUCUGCUGGAACUUAACUGACGCCAAUGCGUGAAAGCGUGGGGAGCAAACAGGAUUAGAUACCCCCGUAGUCCCUGUCUCUUAUAC
This 301-nucleotide ribosomal RNA is filed under the name uncultured bacterium. RNAcentral describes it as "partial 16S ribosomal RNA". It matches the Rfam family "Bacterial small subunit ribosomal RNA", at positions 509 to 807 of the family's 1533-position model. The record is from RNAcentral.